UCUGGUUUUUGCGGGCCCUGGGAGGAAGUGUUUAUUGGCUCCUGAGUCACCAGCCCCUGCCACCUGCUGGCCUCUCCCCACAAGUGUCCCCCUUUCCAUGUUGCUUCCCCUUUGACCCUAGGAUUUCUGCUCUCUGUCUGUUCUCUGGGUGGCGCAGCCAAUCAGCUUGUGAGAUCAGAGACGUUGAGAGGCGCCCGCAGAAGCUGAGGUUGCGUUGAAGCUGAGGCUGGCAGGCAGUGGACACCCCAGCAUCUCAAAGACAGAAGCAGGGACAGUGUCGCUUUUCUGUCUCAGCCACUGCCAAUGCCUGGUCCCGAGUAGAGGCUGGAGGACGAUGCACCUAAGUCUAGUGUCAGCUUUUCAUGUCACCCCGGUGGGGGCCUGUGCCUGGGAGACG
This 397-nucleotide long non-coding RNA is filed under the name Heterocephalus glaber (naked mole-rat). Its description in RNAcentral is "lncRNA (ENSHGLG00000035170.1)". Lineage: Eukaryota; Metazoa; Chordata; Mammalia; Rodentia; Bathyergidae. The record is from RNAcentral.